This 446-nucleotide ribosomal RNA is filed under the name uncultured bacterium. RNAcentral's name for it is "partial 16S ribosomal RNA". It matches the Rfam family "Bacterial small subunit ribosomal RNA", at positions 338 to 795 of the family's 1533-position model. The record is from RNAcentral.
CCUACGGGUGGCAGCAGUCGAGAAUCAUUCACAAUGGGGGAAACCCUGAUGGUGCGACGCCGCGUGGGGGAAUGAAGGUCUUCGGAUUGUAAACCCCUGUCAUGUGGGAGCAAAUUAAAAAGAUAGUACCACAAGAGGAAGAGACGGCUAACUCUGUGCCAGCAGCCGCGGGAAUACAGAGGUCUCAAGCGUUGUUCGGAAUCACUGGGCGUAAAGCGUGCGUAGGCUGUUUCGUAAGUCGUGUGUGAAAGGCGCGGGCUCAACCCGCGGACGGCACAUGAUACUGCGAGACUAGAGUAAUGGAGGGGGAACCGGAAUGCUCGGUGUAGCAGUGAAAGGCGUAGAUAUCGAGAGGAACACUCGGGGCGAAGGCGGGUUCCUGGACAUUAACUGACGCUGAGGCACGAAGGCCAGGGGAGCGAAAGGGAUUAGAUACCCGAGUAGUC